This 450-nucleotide ribosomal RNA is filed under the name Salmonella enterica subsp. enterica serovar Litchfield. Its description in RNAcentral is "partial 23S ribosomal RNA". It matches the Rfam family "Bacterial large subunit ribosomal RNA", at positions 93 to 583 of the family's 2925-position model. Lineage: Bacteria; Pseudomonadati; Pseudomonadota; Gammaproteobacteria; Enterobacterales; Enterobacteriaceae. The record is from RNAcentral.
AACCGUUAUAACCGGCGAUACCCGAAUGGGGAAACCCAGUGUGAUUCGUCACACUAUCAUUAACUGAAUCCAUAGGUUAAUGAGGCGAACCGGGGGAACUGAAACAUCUAAGUACCCCGAGGAAAAGAAAUCAACCGAGAUUCCCCCAGUAGCGGCGAGCGAACGGGGAGGAGCCCAGAGCCUGAAUCAGCAUGUGUGUUAGUGGAAGCGUCUGGAAAGGCGCGCGAUACAGGGUGACAGCCCCGUACACAAAAGCGCAUGUGCUGUGAGCUCGAUGAGUAGGGCGGGACACGUGGUAUCCUGUCUGAAUAUGGGGGGACCAUCCUCCAAGGCUAAAUACUCCUGACUGACCGAUAGUGAACCAGUACCGUGAGGGAAAGGCGAAAAGAACCCCGGCGAGGGGAGUGAAAAAGAACCUGAAACCGUGUACGUACAAGCAGUGGGAGCACA